GUGAGGUUUCGCCCAGCUCAGCUGCCAGCCUCACCCUUGCAUCCCUCUAGCUUUCUAUUCUUGGUUCAAUUAUUGUCAUGCAAAUAGGCUCCUUCCUAUGCCACCUUCCUGUCUCAUUAUGAUCUUUGUCUCAGAACUUCGGCCCAGGAAUUUCAAUGCCUCUUAGACCAAGCUGGGCACCGGGAAUGCUGCCUCCCCCUGCUGGCUUCCCUCUCUUCAGCCUGAUUUCCUCUGGAGAUACUCAAGGGCCGAGCCAAGAACUUGGCGCUAUGCCCAGGGAGAAGAAGAAAUGAUCCUGAACAAAUGGAAGGGACACUGUGAGAGGAGGAGGCUUCUCCCAAGGCACAGACAGGGAACCAGGCACCAGCCGAGGGCACGGUGGGGGCCCUGUUGUGGGUGCUGCCUCUGUGCCAGGUAGUGCGCCAAGCUCUGUGACUGCUUGACCAACAAAAUAUGGCGGAGGUGACACUGGGACACUUUCUGGCCCAGACCUUGAGAGACUGAGAGCUUCCUCCUCUUGACUUGGAGCCCUGAGCUGCCAAGUUAGAAGUCCACCCACCCUGUGGGAGAGACCACCUGAGACUACAUGGAGAGAAGACGUAAGAGCCAAGCCAUCUUGGACCUCUAGCCCAGCCCGGCCGCCAGCUAAAUAUUGCUGAGUGACCCUAUUAAUGCCACAUGGAGCAGAGGAAUCACCCAGCCAAGCUCCAUCUGUGUUCCUGCCCUCCAAAACUGUGAGAUAGAGUAAAACAGUUGUUGUUUUUAGCCA
Non-coding RNA from Equus caballus (horse), 769 nucleotides. Lineage: Eukaryota; Metazoa; Chordata; Mammalia; Perissodactyla; Equidae. The record is from RefSeq and is a predicted model, not a curated record.